RNAcentral lists this transfer RNA (46 nucleotides) under Notocosa bellicosa. RNAcentral describes it as "partial tRNA-Leu". The record is from RNAcentral. Lineage: Eukaryota; Metazoa; Arthropoda; Arachnida; Araneae; Lycosidae.
AUUAGAAUCUAACAAAAUAAAAAUAAUUUUUUUCAAUUUUAUUACA